RNAcentral lists this ribosomal RNA (253 nucleotides) under uncultured bacterium. RNAcentral describes it as "partial 16S ribosomal RNA". It matches the Rfam family "Bacterial small subunit ribosomal RNA", at positions 524 to 776 of the family's 1533-position model. The record is from RNAcentral.
UACGUAGGGUGCGAGCGUUAAUCGGAAUUACUGGGCGUAAAGCGUGCGCAGGCGGUUUUGUAAGACAGAUGUGAAAUCCCCGGGCUCAACCUGGGAACUGCAUUUGUGACUGCAUCGCUGGAGUGCGGCAGAGGGGGAUGGAAUUCCGCGUGUAGCAGUGAAAUGCGUAGAUAUGCGGAGGAACACCGAUGGCGAAGGCAAUCCCCUGGGCCUGCACUGACGCUCAUGCACGAAAGCGUGGGGAGCGAACAGG